RNAcentral lists this ribosomal RNA (253 nucleotides) under uncultured bacterium. RNAcentral describes it as "partial 16S ribosomal RNA". It matches the Rfam family "Bacterial small subunit ribosomal RNA", at positions 524 to 776 of the family's 1533-position model. The record is from RNAcentral.
UACGGAGGGUGCAAGCGUUGUUCGGAAUCACUGGGCGUAAAGGGCGCGUAGGCGGCUCACUAAGUCCGAUGUGAAAGCCCGGGGCUUAACUCCGGAAGGGCAUUGGAAACUGGUGGGCUUGAGUUCGGGAGAGGAGGGCAGAAUUCCCGGUGUAGGGUUGAAAUCCGUAGAUAUCGGGAGGAAAACCGGUGGCGAAGGCGGCCCUCUGGAACGAAACUGACGCUGAGGCGCGAAAGCGUGGGGAGCAAACAGG